This 89-nucleotide transfer RNA is filed under the name Candidatus Aramenus sulfurataquae. Its description in RNAcentral is "Sulfolobales archaeon AZ1 tRNA". It matches the Rfam family "tRNA". From Rfam's summary of the family: Transfer RNA (tRNA) molecules are approximately 80 nucleotides in length. The record is from Rfam by way of RNAcentral. Lineage: Archaea; Thermoproteati; Thermoproteota; Thermoprotei; Sulfolobales; Sulfolobaceae.
GCCGCGGUAGCUCAGCCUGGCUAGAGCGUUGCCCUGGUAUUUGAUUACCGGGGAGGCAAAGGUCCCGGGUUCAAAUCCCGGCCGCGGCU